Molecule: ribosomal RNA, 301 nt
Filed under: uncultured bacterium
Lineage: Bacteria
Description: partial 16S ribosomal RNA
Rfam family: Bacterial small subunit ribosomal RNA
Source: RNAcentral
CAGCAGCCGCGGGAAUACGUAGGGUGCAAGCGUUAAUCGGAAUUACUGGGCGUAAAGCGUGCGCAGGCGGUUUGUUAAGACAGAUGUGAAAUCCCCGGGCUUAACCUGGGAACUGCAUUUGAAACUGGCAGGCUAGAGUCUUGUAGAGGGGGGUAGAAUUCCAGGUGUAGCGGUGAAAUGCGUAGAGAUCUGGAGGAAUACCGGUGGCGAAGGCGGCCCCCUGGACAAAGACUGACGCUCAGGUGCGAAAGCGUGGGGAGCAAACAGGAUUAGAUACCCGCGUAGUCCCUGUCUCUUAUAC